GCAUGGUAAAACGCUUCAGGAGCUGCAGGAGAACCCGUCAGCAUCAAUAAGUUUCAUGUUUAUUUUUCCGUUUCUUUCCAGGCUGUAGCUGUUUAUAUUUAACACCAUUUCUCCUGUAAAUCAGGUUUAUUACGAUCUUAUUAAAGUUUUUACUCCUGCGCAUUAUCCGGUUCAGUGACGGAGCGGUCUUCGCACCGACACAGAAAAACGCAGCAGUGCGAUCACCGCGGGAUCCAGAGUUUGUCAGAGAGAGAGAGAGAGAGAGAGCGAGAGAGAGCGAGAGAGAGAGAGAGAGAGAGACAGAGAGCGAGAGAGAGAGGGUCCGCGUGAUUUACAGCCUGCUGCUGCAUUAGUGUGUGUGUGUGUGUGUGUGUGUGUGUGUGUGUGUGUGUGUGUGUGUGUGUGUGUGUGUAGUCUAUAUAUUUAUAUUUAUACACCGUCAGCUGCUCCUGUGCCAAGAAAAAAAGGACCAAGGGAAAUAAACCGAGCGAGGACACACUCUGUUCCCAGGUAAACAUCAGGAUGGAAAAAACACCACAUGGUCUAUAGCUGUGUGUGUGUGUGAGAGAGAGUGUUAGGCCUUCAGAAGUGCAUUUUCAAUUAGAGAAAGUGUGAAGGCAGAGAGUUAAAACAGUGAGUGUAGAAACUGCAGAGGAUCAACUGAAAGGGAGUGUUUUUAUUUUUUUGUCUUUUUGCACAUUAUUUUCAUUCUUAAGUUUUGUAAAGCACCUUUUGAUUCUCGUCUGUGUAAAGUGCAAAUAAAUAAAACUUACUUAUACUUUCACCUUUGCUGCUGUGUUUUUAAGGAGUAUAAAGGAACAUGUGUGAUUUUUAUUGUGUAUGUGCUUGCAACCUGCACAAAAUUAAUUGAUAGAAUACUUUAAGUAUAUGCAAGUGUUAGUGAUGUCACUUCAGUAAAAUAAAUAGGAGUGCAUGUAUGAGUUUGCAGCUAAUUGAAAUUAACCUGAUUGACUUCAUCACGUGAUAAAAUGUCAGUUAAAAAUCUUAAGUUUCAUGAUGCGCACAAUAACGCUUUGUCUUUUCUCUUACCUACAGUAACAGUGCAUCGUGUGUUAAACUUUGUGUUCUUGUCAGCAUGCAUUAGUGUGUCCCAAGUUUGAUGAAAUAUCAAUCAGAUUAAUGAUCAAAAUGUGAAGCUGCAAAUGUUUAAAAAUAUUUUUCCAAUUUUUCAGUAUUUUAAGAGACAAUAAAAGCUCUAAAAAGCAGAUUAUACAUGAAUUUCCACCACACACACCCUCCAUCACCACGUGUCAGUGUGAAGUCUUUACCUGUGGACUCCUUGCUCUCGCUCCACGGUGUGUGAAGCUCCAUCCUGCAGAGGCUGAGAAGUGACAUUUUCCCUGCAGCUGAAUAUCAGCAGGUUAAAUUCAUGUCAGGACAAAAUACAUCAGUAGUUCUAUAUAUUUAACUCUUCAUCUACUCCAUCUUCAACUUUCAUUGUGGAAAAGACGCUGCAUUUCAUAUUCAUGUAUAAAAAUGUAACUCUUAAUCUUAAAGUCUUUGCAGUGAUUAUGUUUUCAGAUGCUGUCUGCCCAUUACAUCCCAUAAUCUUUUAGUAAUGUCUAACUCUUGUAUAAAACCCUCUCUGAAGUCAUAUUUCUGAACAACAGACAGCACACAAAUCCCAGAACUUUCCUCAAGCUGUUAAUUCUCACUGUUACAUUCUUACUCCGUCUUUAACUGCCCUGGACUUUUAUUUAUUUUGUCUGUGAUCAAAUGUUUCAUACUGCACAUUUGCAGAAGUUUGGAAGCAUUUCCUGUGACUGGUCUUUCGUUUUUUUUUUUCACACUUCUCUAAUUUCUUCCAUCUCUUUGUCUCUGUAAGCCACUUUUGAUGCACUGCGCUGGUGCAUAUUUGUUUUGAAGUGGUGGAAAUGAAAUCGCACACUUUUCAAAAUGUUUAACAUCUGUCACACAGAGUUACUCUGGUCUGAAUCUUAUUUUUGAAAAUGUGUUUUUCCCUUGUUGUAUUUUUUUUUAAUCUCUGUCUGUCCAGAUUAAAUGAAUCAAAUAAGAUCCCAAUCCAGAUAUAUAAAUGUCUAAAUGCUCUUCAGAGUGAACAGAACUAUGGGCUCUUGCUCUGACUCGGUUUACACUGGUUUUUAAAAUGUGUAUUGAUCAGAUCACAAGAGUUGAGACAUCACUUCUUGUCACUUCAGCUGGAAGUUGUCAACGGUAAGGAUAAAACCUGUCAGGUUUGGGGGAUUUGGAAGAGAACUUUGGGGUUAUUACUGUUUGAUUUGACAAAGUACCAGGAGAACCAGG
Xyrichtys novacula (pearly razorfish) is the source of this 2286-nucleotide non-coding RNA. The record is from the annotation of a GenBank genome assembly. Lineage: Eukaryota; Metazoa; Chordata; Actinopteri; Labriformes; Labridae.